Molecule: long non-coding RNA, 854 nt
Organism: Bolinopsis microptera
Lineage: Eukaryota; Metazoa; Ctenophora; Tentaculata; Lobata; Bolinopsidae
Exons: 6
Source: RefSeq, a predicted model, not a curated record
AGCACUCUCCAACGGGUCACAUGAAGUGCACGUGACUCAUUAGAUCAUGGUCUUCCGCAGUUGUAGCUGCAGAAUCUACAUCCACAAAUAAUUUGUUGAGGAGAGUUCGUUGUUACUCAGCUUUAAUCCUUUUGAUUUCGUAUAAGCUUACACUGAACCCGGCCUGAUUAGUGAUUUGUAAACUUGUUUUAAUCGACGCAUCUUUGUCGGCGAAACAUUUAUAUAACGUUUUGGCAGUGGCUGAAUUAAAGAAACAUUUAAAAUACGAUUCUGAGAAGAAGACUAUUUCCUAAAUCCUUAUUGUGAGCUAUAUCUUGCGAAGACUCUAUCCUACCCGGCCCAAGGUUAUCAGAUUUCAGUGAACAGAAGUAGAAGAUCAUAACGACUUAUUCAAGAAACUACUUCCUAACUUUAGUCAAUCCUGUGAAGACUCUAUACUACCAGCUAUAUUAUCAGAUUUCAGUGAACGGAAGUAAAGGGUCAUAACGACUUAUUCAAGAAACUACUUCCUAACUUUUGUCAAUCCUGUGAAGACUCUAUACUACCAGCUAUAUUAUCAGAUUUCGGUGAACAGAAGUAGAAGAUCAUAACGACUUAUUCAAGAAACUACUUCCUAACUUUAGUCAAUCCUGUGAAGACUCUAUACUACCAGCUAUAUUAUCAGAUUUCAGUGAACAGAAGUAGAAGAUCAUAACGACUUAUUCAAGAAACUACUUCCUAACUUUUGUCAAUCCUGUGAAGACUCUAUACUACCAGCUAUAUUAUCAGGUUUGUGAAUAUUUUACAGUGUUCAGAUAACUCAAUCUUCCCUCAGUAUUCGUUCUUAAUUAGUUGUUUAAUUGGUUGAUUAAUUU